This is a long non-coding RNA of Felis catus (domestic cat), 1090 nucleotides long. RefSeq lists it as uncharacterized. The transcript is spliced from 2 exons. The record is from RefSeq and is a predicted model, not a curated record. Lineage: Eukaryota; Metazoa; Chordata; Mammalia; Carnivora; Felidae.
CGGACUAGACACUAGAGCAACUGCCACUCAACUUGGCUCAGUUUGGUUGGUAUCUGGUUCCGACCCUACUGUCCAGUCAUGCCUGAUAUACGCUGAGACACAGAAGUGUUUCCUCUGUGGAGGAACAACUUGAAAUCCUUCGAUGUUACCAUAAUAAAGACUACCUACGGUGACCUCCCCAGCCCAGGAAAUGUGACCAGACAGCCUUCAUUCAAGACCGGUAUUCAUACAUUACAUAAAGCAAUCAGCAUCUUCCCAGGAAAAUGUAAGGCUUGAAGUUAAAUUAAAUUAGCUGAAUUGUAAAACCUCUGAAAUUUAGCUCUCUGGCUCCCCAAGUAGCUUUAUCUGUUUUGGUGGGCAAAGAGAAACAAAUAAUCUUCAUGUUCAGAACCCUGAUCUAUUUUGGAUGCCAACUAAUACAUCUUUUAUUUUAGCCUCUCAGCUGCUAUGGAGGAAAAAGAACUCUGUCAGAGUGACAAGCAAAAAAAAAUUGAAGUACAUUUCUUUUCUCUCUAGAGACACUAGUUAAUGAAAUAAAACAUGUAGCCCUUUAAAAUGCUGCAACCAUGAGGCCCCAAGUCUUGAAAGCUCCUCUCGUUUUGCCGCUGUGGGACCAUAACAAUUUAGCAGCAGCAGCAAGCCCUUGAACCAAGAUGCACAGAAGGAAGGAUUCCUUGCUGGACUUCACAAAAACAACCCAAGAGACCCAUCAACUCCGGUGUCCCCAAGUGAACUGGUAGUAGGACUGUAAUAAGAGACACAAACUUGGCCAAAUGACUAACCAAGCCAGAUAGUAAAGGGCAUCUGUAAGGGAUGUUACUAUCCCUGCCUUCUGCUAUGGGUACACAGGAUUCCAGGACACAUGAAAAAUGUAAAACCACCUUCCUCCAAAACUUCUACAUCAUCACUCCAUUUUCAGCACUGGAAAACCAUACAUAACAUGGUUUUUUCCUUAGAUUCCAGUGCUUACUUACUCUCCAAGGAUGCCUUAUAUGGCAGAAAGUCAAACUGUAAUUUUUUUUUUUAAUUUCACUAUACUUUCCUUUUGAUUGGCUCACAUAAGUGAUAUAAAUAUCCAUUUUUAGCCGUA